RNAcentral lists this ribosomal RNA (1088 nucleotides) under uncultured bacterium. RNAcentral describes it as "bacterial SSU rRNA". It matches the Rfam family "Bacterial small subunit ribosomal RNA", at positions 423 to 1502 of the family's 1533-position model. The record is from RNAcentral.
ANGGAAANGGUNNGGGGNUUANUUUUAAUUAGCAAUAUCUNCAUUUGACGUUUAGCCUGCAGAAAAAGCCACCCCGGCCUAACUUCCCGUGCCAGCAGCCCGGCGGUAAUACGGAGGGUGCGAGCGUUAAUCGGAAUUACUGGGCGUAAAGCGCAUGCAGGUGGUUUUGUUAAGUCAGAUGUGAAAGCCCGGGGCUCAACCUCGGAAUUGCAUUUGAAACUGGCAAACUAGAGUACUGUAGAGGGGGGUAGAAUUUCAGGUGUAGCGGUGAAAUGCGUAGAGAUCUGAAGGAAUACCGGUGGCGAAGGCGGCCCCCUGGACAGAUACUGACACUCAGAUGCGAAAGCGUGGGGAGCAAACAGGAUUAGAUACCCUGGUAGUCCACGCCGUAAACGAUGUCUACUUGGAGGUUGUGGCCUUGAGCCGUGGCUUUCGGAGCUAACGCGUUAAGUAGACCGCCUGGGGAGUACGGUCGCAAGAUUAAAACUCAAAUGAAUUGACGGGGGCCCGCACAAGCGGUGGAGCAUGUGGUUUAAUUCGAUGCAACGCGAAGAACCUUACCUACUCUUGACAUCUACAGAAGCCAGCGGAGACGCAGGUGUGCCUUCGGGAACUGUAAGACAGGUGCUGCAUGGCUGUCGUCAGCUCGUGUUGUGAAAUGUUGGGUUAAGUCCCGCAACGAGCGCAACCCUUAUCCUUGUUUGCCAGCACUUCGGGUGGGAACUCCAGGGAGACUGCCGGUGAUAAACCGGAGGAAGGUGGGGACGACGUCAAGUCAUCAUGGCCCUUACGAGUAGGGCUACACACGUGCUACAAUGGCGCAUACAGAGGGCGGCCAACUUGCGAAAGUGAGCGAAUCCCAAAAAGUGCGUCGUAGUCCGGAUUGGAGUCUGCAACUCGACUCCAUGAAGUCGGAAUCGCUAGUAAUCGUGGAUCAGAAUGCCACGGUGAAUACGUUCCCGGGCCUUGUACACACCGCCCGUCACACCAUGGGAGUGGGCUGCAAAAGAAGUGGGUAGUUUAACCUUCGGGAGGACGCUCACCACUUUGUGGUUCAUGACUGGGGUGAAGUCGUAACAAGGUAACCG